ACAUUGAGGGUGAUCUGGCUGUGACAUCUGUCACCCCAUUGAUUGCCAGGGUUGAUUCAGCUGAUCUGUCUGGUUAGGCUAGGUGUCCUCUUCCUCCCUCACUGCUCCAUGUGAGGCUCUCUGGAAGUGGUGCACUUAGUUGAAGAGGAUGACCUUCCCUAAAUAGAGGAGUACCUGUCUUCCAUCAAGAGUAUAUGAGUAGCUGAGCUCCCCUGCUAGAACCUCCAAACAAGCUCUUUUCCUUCUUUGGUAUUCUAUUGGUGAUGCUUGUGUCUAGUUCC
This 281-nucleotide small nuclear RNA is filed under the name Peromyscus maniculatus bairdii (prairie deer mouse). RNAcentral's name for it is "7SK RNA (ENSPEMG00000003612.2)". It matches the Rfam family "7SK RNA", at positions 1 to 258 of the family's 331-position model. From Rfam's summary of the family: 7SK was discovered as an abundant small nuclear RNA in the mid-70s but a possible function has only recently been suggested. Two independent studies have found that 7SK RNA binds the CDK9/cyclin T complex (known as elongation factor P-TEFb). The record is from RNAcentral. Lineage: Eukaryota; Metazoa; Chordata; Mammalia; Rodentia; Cricetidae.